Long non-coding RNA from Homo sapiens (human), 432 nucleotides. NCBI's taxonomy places the organism in Eukaryota, Metazoa, Chordata, Mammalia, Primates, Hominidae. The record is from Ensembl.
CAAAAAGCCGAGGGGGAGGAGCGGCGCGGCCGUGAGCGAGGGCAGCCAAGUUUGGCUACAGCACGCGCGGCUUCGCUCCUGCCUCUGGGGAGGAGAGAGGGGACAGUCCCCUCCCGAGCUAGGCUCGGACCUUGGCCCCCAGAGCCGCCGCAGACCUCCAGGGGUGACUUCGUCGCUCCCUAGUCUGGACUCGCUAGGUCCCGGGUGCACCGGAGUCGCGCAGCGAACGCGCCAUGCAGGAGGGCGACAUCGGCCUGGAGGGGCUGCCCCCCAGGGAAGUCCCCACAGUCGGGCACUGUGCCGAGUGGUCGGAGAUCACCUCCUCGGCUCCUGGCUCAUCACUGGGAAAGAUGGGAGCACCCAGGGACUGCAGCAGCUGUGGUCCCCAGGUCCUCGGAUACGUCAUCCUGCAGCCCCACAAGGGACCCAGAA